UGCAUUUUUAGCUGUCUUUCAUACUGCAUGUUUAAAUCUCCGGUUUAGGUUGAGCGGAAUUAAACACCAGCCUUGUUUGGUAAACACCUUUUUGGGCCUUCAAAUCUUGAUUGAGGACAGCCCUGUGAUGAUACAGAGUACAUUACCAUAAUGGAUUCAGUUACGGUCACCCUACCUUAUGGCUGCACAGCGUGAGGGGAUUUUUGUUUCAUUGUUUUCUUUCAUGCUUGAAAGCUGAAGGAUUGAGGGUCGAGGACAUCCAACGAGUCUCUCUGUCAACAUUAGGUCGAAUCCUAAAGAAAAAUCUAAUAUACAUGAAGCAACUGUAUCGGGUACCAUUUGACAGAAAUUCAGAGAGAGUGAAACAUCUGCUCAAUGAGUAUGUGGAGAGAGUCUUGCAAAUGGAUGCUGCUGAAAUUCAACAUGAAUUUAUAUAUGUGGAUGAGGCUGGAUUUAACCUUGCAAAAACAAGAAGAAGAGUGAGAAAUGUAAUUGGGCACAGGGCAAUCACCAAUGUGCCAGGGCAGCGAGGGGGUAACAUCACCCUUUGCGCUGCUAUCACACAAAAUGGGGUCCUUGAAGCAGCUUCAGUGCAGGGGUGGUUUCGUCACACAAGGCGAUUCUUCCAACGGUGCCUUGACAAUGAAGACAUAGCCUGUGAUGUGGAUGAAAUCUUAUGGCCUGAUCCAGCCAGACGAAGAGACGGAUAGUUACAGUAUUCUUGUUGCUUUUACAGUAGUUUUCUUUCAUUUCUGUUUACUUUUACUUUACUUUUCUUCAGAGUCAAAGUGUAUGUACUGUAAUUCAUGCAGUCAUUUUUAUUUGUCUACGGAUUUUAUUUGUUUACAGUAAUUUAUAUCAUUGUUGGUUGAUUACUGUAACUGAUUAUGGUAAGAAAUACUGUAAGUAUUGAAAUAAAUACUUGAAAUAUUCAGUCUGCAGCAUCAAGUGUUGUGCAGUGCUUGGUAAGGUUAUAGUAGGCCUACAGUAUUUGUCUACAUUCUCCUUAUAUCUCAAAACAAAUCAUGAAUAAUGUUGUGAGUUUCUCACUAUUUUUUGUCACCUAAAUUAUCUCUUAAGAAUGUCUGGCCAAAAAUCUUUUUUUUUUUUUACAAAUGUGUUUUUUAUUUAUCACAGCAGUGUGAAACUGGCUGCAAUAGUGUAUGAUCAUUGAUGACUGUGUUGGUUAAAUGAAAACAAAUAGCAUUUUCACAAAUAUGUGUAUAUGUUUUGACUGAACUGUGUAUGUUUUGACUGAACUGUGUCAUUUUGCAAACAAUCUAGGAAUUUUGCUAAUUGAUUGUGGUGUUUGGAUAAUUGUGAUUAUAUU
Molecule: long non-coding RNA, 1330 nt
Organism: Esox lucius (northern pike)
Lineage: Eukaryota; Metazoa; Chordata; Actinopteri; Esociformes; Esocidae
Exons: 4
Source: RefSeq, a predicted model, not a curated record